Molecule: long non-coding RNA, 720 nt
Organism: Lactuca sativa (garden lettuce)
Lineage: Eukaryota; Viridiplantae; Streptophyta; Magnoliopsida; Asterales; Asteraceae
Source: RefSeq, a predicted model, not a curated record
AUACCAGGUUGCUCUAUAUGAUUUCUUAAAAAAGAAAAAGAAAAAUAAAAGCAAGAAGAUGAACUCCUUGAAAAGGUUCGGAAGGAUAAAUGUUGCACAGCAAGAGGUGCGAUUUGUUGUGAUUUCCAAUUCAAAUGGAGGAACUUUAAAGAUAUAUUCAAUCGAUCAAGAUCGUAUGAAGCUGCGAUUUUAACAGGAUCCUGAUAAUGAAUUUUAUCAAAAAUCAGUUGAAGAGGCUGCAAAGGUACAUUGCUGCAGGCAAUUGAAUCACAUGAAGAAAUUUAAUUAGAAAUCCAGGGUAAGGGUAGUUAUCGUAUGAAGGUAUUAAAAAAACAUACCUGCUGUGUUGUACUUGCAUGAAGAGAUGUAAUAGAAACAGGAAGAAAAAACAUGAAGAAGACGAAUCACGAAAAUGUGAAGGGUAUGUUAUCGUAUGAAGGAAUGCAUGAACAGAGAUAGAGAUGAGUAAACCGAAAUUGUCCCAAAAUCGGCUGCUAAAUUGUAGGGAAUCAGAUUUGGUAUUGAAAGUGAUUGAAAUUAAUUGAAUGGGCGGGAAAAAAGUGGGUAAAUAGGUGGAGAGAAUGACACGUGGCAUCUUGCUUGUGUAUAAGAUGGACACGUGGCGUUUAAGGGAGGUUUUUAUUAAGUACUAGGUGUGAGACCCAUGUAUUACAUGAGUUAUUUAAAAAAAAUAAAUAUAAAAUUUUAACAAUUUGAAAA